UUUCCUACGGGGCGCAGCAGUGGGGAAUAUUGCACAAUGGGGGAAACCCUGAUGCAGCGACGCCGCGUGAGUGAAGAAGUAUUUCGGUAUGUAAAGCUCUAUCAGCAGGGAAGAAAAUGACGGUACCUGACUAAGAAGCCCCGGCUAGCUACGUGCCAGCAGCCGCGGUAAUACGUAGGGGGCAAGCGUUAUCCGGAUUUACUGGGUGUAAAGGGAGCGUAGACGGCCAGACAAGUCUGAAGUGAAAAUCCAGCGCUUAACGUUGGAAGUGCUUUGGAAACUGCCGGGCUGGAGUGCAGGAGGGG
RNAcentral lists this ribosomal RNA (305 nucleotides) under uncultured bacterium. Its description in RNAcentral is "bacterial SSU rRNA". It matches the Rfam family "Bacterial small subunit ribosomal RNA", at positions 335 to 657 of the family's 1533-position model. The record is from RNAcentral.